This 252-nucleotide ribosomal RNA is filed under the name uncultured bacterium. RNAcentral's name for it is "partial 16S ribosomal RNA". It matches the Rfam family "Bacterial small subunit ribosomal RNA", at positions 524 to 776 of the family's 1533-position model. The record is from RNAcentral.
UACGAAGGGUGCGAGCGUUAUUCGGAUUUACUGGGCGUAAAGGGCGCGUAGGCGGCUUCUCAAGUCACUUGUUAAAGACCACUUAAACCGGUGGGGAUGCGAGUGAAACUGGGAGGCUAGAGGGUAAGAGAGAGAAGUGGAAUUCUUGGAGUAGCGGUAAAAUGCGUAGAUCUCAAGAGGAACACCGAUGGCGAAGGCAGCUUCUUGGCUUACUACUGACGCUGAGGCGCGAAAGCGUGGGGAGCAAACAGG